Molecule: transfer RNA, 70 nt
Filed under: Anthias woodsi (swallowtail bass)
Lineage: Eukaryota; Metazoa; Chordata; Actinopteri; Perciformes; Anthiadidae
Description: tRNA-Ser
Source: RNAcentral
GAGAGAGGCACGCCCAGCAGUGGGGGCUGCUAACCUCCGACCCCCCUGGUUAAAAUCCAGGGCUCUCUCG